RNAcentral lists this long non-coding RNA (1245 nucleotides) under Equus caballus (horse). Its description in RNAcentral is "lncRNA (ENSECAG00000047705.1)". The record is from RNAcentral. Lineage: Eukaryota; Metazoa; Chordata; Mammalia; Perissodactyla; Equidae.
UUGCAGUAUAUUUUAAGUGCUUACAAUUUACAAGUGACUACUUUUACUAUAACACAAAUAACAAUAGCCAAUGUUUAUUGUUUCUAGUGCUUAAAAGGUGUAUUCUCAUUGAACCCUCAACGACUCCAUAAGGCAUUCGUUAUUAUCCCUAUUACACAGAUAGGAACACUGGGUCCCAGGAAUAUUGUGUGAGUUGCCUAAAGUUACACAGUGUGGACAGGUGGAGCCAGACAUGGAAAGCAGGCAGUCUGACUCUAAAACACACAGUUUCAACUAUUAUACCACAAAAAUAUCUGUCUAUCCUCAUUCGGAGACAAUGUCAAAGUUUAAAUUUAAGUUCUUUCAAGAAUAUGACACCCCCCCACACACACUUUCUGUAAUAGGCUCUAAAGAGACGUGCAAACAAACAGCUGGAUGUAGGAAAGCAUCAAAAGAAAAGUUUCCCAGAUCUGGAGAGCAACAGUUAAUGCCUAAACUCCUGUCCUGAGCUCUCUCCCUCAGGCAUCAAAUUCUACAUCCACACAAGCAUGGGAUGAAAAUACACCGACUAAUUGUGUUCUGCAGCUCUGAGUAGGUUACCACAAGUGCAAAGGGACAGGGUUUCUGAUAAUUAAGUCUCAAAAUUAACUCCUCAUUAAGACAAAUGAAGAAAGUGCAUUCCUUCCAGUGACAUCGUUUUAGUCUGGUUGCUGAUCCAGCAAAAUUAGCAGACAUUAAUUUACAUUCUCAAGAAAGGGAGGUGGGGGGACAUGGAAAUGCCUUACGGAAAAGAAGGCAAAUCUAGGUCACGGUUCAAGACCUCAACCAAAUGGACCAAAGGAUAGUUUAUUUGUGUCUGUUAACUCCCAAUUGCUUGGCAUCUGACCUCAGCAUGACAGGCUUAGAAGCAGGAAACCUAGGCUCGAGUCCAGUUCCUGCCACUUACUGGCACCAUAACCCUGGAAAAGGCAUCUGACCCUCUGAAUUUCAUUUUUAUCACCAUAAAAAUGAGGAUCAUAUGCCAACCUCACUGCACUUGGUGGGGGAGGGAGCUGUCCUCGUGGCCAUAACGUGUGCACAAGUUCUCUGGGGACUCCAUAGGCCACAAGUGAUAUAUCUUUGUUUAUUUCAUCAUUAAUGUGAACAGGGCCAACUAUUUUGUAUGACUAUAGUCCUUCCACCAGAAUAAUUCAGUUCAAAUGACAAAUUUUACAAACAGCUCAAGCCAAGAGUUGAGGAUCAGGGUCACUUGGUUCUUAUCGCCAC